CUAAUAUUUAUUCAUAUUUAAGGCAAUGUAAGAAGAUCCAGAGCCGUUUUCUACGAUUAGAUAUGGAGGAAUGAAUGCUCAUUCUGCUUUCCUUAAUCACACAAGUUGCAGACUCUUAAGAGGAAGCCAGUUAAAAUGUUUCACUGGAAAAUGAAAUAAGUCUCUCUGUAUCAUUUCACCCAAGUACUGUACUACUCUAUUACCUGGCGACAGCUUCACUCAUUAUGGUGGUGAUUUAAAUUCAGUCAAGAUGGACACAGCUGGAGGAAUGGAAGGCUUGAUCCAAACUGCUAGAUGACUACAUUAUGG
Long non-coding RNA from Zalophus californianus (California sea lion), 309 nucleotides. RefSeq lists it as uncharacterized. NCBI's taxonomy places the organism in Eukaryota, Metazoa, Chordata, Mammalia, Carnivora, Otariidae. The record is from RefSeq and is a predicted model, not a curated record. The transcript has 3 exons.